CCUUAGGACAGAUACAUCCCGGGAAACUGGGGCUAAUAUCAGAUAGAUGAGGACUCCUGGAAUGGUGCCUCGUCGAAAGGGCGUCGAAGACAUGCUUUUGACGUUGCCUAAGGAUGGGACCGCGUCCGAUCAGGUUGUUGGUGGGGUAACGGCUCACCAAGCCUAUAACCGGUACGGGCCCUGAGAGGGGAAGCCCGGAGAUGGAACCUGAGACAAUGUUCCAGGCCCUAUGGGGCGCAGCAGGCGCGAAACCUCCACAAUGCACGAAAGUGUGAUGGGGUUACCCCGAGUGCCUUCCUUAAAGGAGGGCUUUUCUUCGGUGUAAGGAGCCGGAGGAAUAAGGAGGGGGCAAGAUUGGUGUCAGCCGCCGCGGUAAUACCAACCCUCCGAGUGGUAGGGAUGAUUAUUUGGCUUAAAGCGUCCGUAGCUGGCUUGAAAAGUCUUCCGUUNAAUCCAGCGUCUAAGCGUUGGAAAGCGGAAGAUACUAUCAAGCUAGGAGGCGGAAGAGGCC
Molecule: ribosomal RNA, 511 nt
Filed under: uncultured archaeon
Lineage: Archaea
Description: bacterial SSU rRNA
Rfam family: Archaeal small subunit ribosomal RNA
Source: RNAcentral